GAUCCUGGCUCAGAUUGAACGCUGGCGGCAGGCCUAACACAUGCAAGUCGAGCGGUAACAGAGAGUAGCUUGCUACUUUGCUGACGAGCGGCGGACGGGUGAGUAAUGCUUGGGAACAUGCCUUGAGGUGGGGGACAACAGUUGGAAACGACUGCUAAUACCGCAUAAUGUCUACGGACCAAAGGGGGCUUCGGCUCUCGCCUUUAGAUUGGCCCAAGUGGGAUUAGCUAGUUGGUGAGGUAAUGGCUCACCAAGGCGACGAUCCCUAGCUGGUUUGAGAGGAUGAUCAGCCACACUGGGACUGAGAC
This 308-nucleotide ribosomal RNA is filed under the name Pseudoalteromonas sp. RNAcentral's name for it is "bacterial SSU rRNA". It matches the Rfam family "Bacterial small subunit ribosomal RNA", at positions 15 to 325 of the family's 1533-position model. Lineage: Bacteria; Pseudomonadati; Pseudomonadota; Gammaproteobacteria; Alteromonadales; Pseudoalteromonadaceae. The record is from RNAcentral.